Long non-coding RNA from Astatotilapia calliptera (eastern happy), 2283 nucleotides. NCBI's taxonomy places the organism in Eukaryota, Metazoa, Chordata, Actinopteri, Cichliformes, Cichlidae. The record is from Ensembl.
GGAUAAGUGACAUUUUCAUUGGGAAACUACCAGGCUUUGUGACCUUCACUUCACCGGGCACUGACAGCGAUUCAAACAUCACCUGCAGAGGUGAAAAUUUCACUCAUUUUACCGUGUGUUUUUGGAAAUUGAGUAAUGUAAGUGCUGACAAAAAUAGCACACACACACAGAGAUCUUUGUAGUUGAAUAUAUUUAUUUGUAUUUAAACAUUGUUCUUUUUUAUGCAUGAAACAGCAUUUCAGACAUCAUAACAAAUUUCAAACACUGACACAGGAGAAAUAUUUUGUAAAAUACAAUUUAUACAUCCAGGAGACUAUAGACUAUAUUGAAACGAUGAAAACAGCUCUAAAAAUCAUCCAUUCAAUUUUAAUUUUGGUGUCAUUAUUUUUUAAUUAUUUAAUUGGAUCAAAAGUAAAACCUGCCUAAGUUGACUAUUGUGGAGCGACGGGACUUCUGGUAAUUGUUUUUGGACGGAUCCAAAAUGUUAAACUGCUGUUAGAACCCCCUUUGUUAGAUUAGAUCAGAAUUUAGACUGUUUUCUCAUACAAAGAUUUGUUGUUUCAUAACUCAACUCUCCCUCUCUCUGUGAGAAAGGUGCCCAAACAUGUGUGUUUUAAUUGAUUGAUUCUGGCUGGGUUGCAGAGGAUCAAAUACUUAUUUUACUCAAUUAAAUGCAAACUGAUUUGUAACUUUUGCAUAAUGAGUCUUUUUUUUCUUUAUCUAUUAAAAUGAAACCGCCAUACUUAUUAAAUACAGUUCAUUUCUUUGUAAGUAGAAACACACACACCCUUGUAAAUUAGUAUGCGGUGCUGUGAAGAACUGUUUUCUGUCUUCCUGGUUUCUUUUUUUAUUCUUUUUUAUUCUUUUUUUUUGCAUAUCUGUCACACUUACAUGUUCCAGAUCAUCAAAUAAAUUACAAUACUAAACAAAUAAUAUUAAUCUGACUGAAAACAAAUAGCAUUUUUCUAGCAAUUAUAUGUCAUGAACUAACCUCCAGAUUUUUCUCUUGGUCUUCAGUUGCUGAUGCAACAAUACCCCUGAAGAUGGACACACAUUUUUACAUGUAGUUCCAUAAAUGCUGAGACAGAGAGAACUUAUUUUCAAAUUUUGGCUUUGUAAACAGUUAUUUUUUAAAUGAAACGAUUCAGAUUCAGUUGAAGGACAGAUUCUCAGCUUUGAUUCAGUGGAUUUAAAAUCAAGAAUAAAAAUGUGAGGAACUAAAGCACUUUUUAACACGAUUCAUUCACUCCAGGGGUUCAAAAGUAAUUUGACAAAUUCAAUAAUUUAAAAUAAAAUGUUCAUUUUCAAUGAAAGCCUGAAGCCUUAAAAUCAUGGACAUCACCAGAGGCUGGGUUUCCUUCUUUGUAAUACUCUGCCACGUCUUUACAGCAAUGGCUUUCAGUUGCUGUUUGUUUUCUUUUCUUUUCUAUGUUCAUCGUGAAGGAAAUGUCAAGAGAAAAUGAGUCAUGUCAUGUCAUCUUUAACAAUGAGGAAAUGAUCAUUCAUAACUCGACAGACUUUUUUCUUCCUGCCUUAUGAGCAGUGUCACAGGUUGAACAAGCCUAGUAAUUCAUUUCUAGUAAGUCAUUUCUAGUAAUCGAAACAAUGUGUGGGUUUAUUUUUAUGGGAGUAUUUCCAGAAACCUUGUGUACAGUAUAAACUUAGGCAUUAUAAUUCUUAAAACAUCCUCAUUCAGUUCACAGAAAAAGAAAAACACUUUGUUAAAGUUCUGAGACUUGUAGAUGAAAAUUUCUGCUGCAAGACAACAACAAAAGAAAAACUAAACUAAACAAAAAGAAAGAAAUACUUGAUCUAAUAAAUAAUAUGUUUUUAAUUUAUUAAAUUAAGAGCUUAAAAGAUUAAUCAGUGUAAUUAAAACCUUACACUGAUCAAAUAUGCAUGCCAAAUAUCCUUGAGCAAGAGCAUGUGAUGGAAGCAGUUACAUAGAAAAUGUAUAGCAUGCUGGUAGGGUAACUAUGGCAUAGUGGCAAGUUGCUUUGAGUGCUAUGAGGAGAAAAGUGCCAUAUAAAAACAAACCCAUUUACCCAUCACUGUAAUUUGAGAAACUCGAAACGGCAAAAUAUUUUCCAUUUUCAAAUUUAGAUCAUUUUGUUUCAAAAUGUUGAAUCAUUGUCUCAUAAAUAUAUUGGAGAGAAAGAUGCAAUUCCCCUCAAAUAUAAAAAAUGACGUAAAAGGAAAGUACUAAAUUACUAUUGAAGUAAAAGUAUUUAAAGUGUGUAUUCAGGUACAAGACUUAAGUAAAUGUGUUUAGUUAUAUUCAAC